RNAcentral lists this long non-coding RNA (988 nucleotides) under Gossypium barbadense (sea-island cotton). RNAcentral describes it as "long non-coding RNA (GBAR_LNC019685)". The record is from RNAcentral. Lineage: Eukaryota; Viridiplantae; Streptophyta; Magnoliopsida; Malvales; Malvaceae.
CUCUCAUCUCUCAAACCCGCACCCCGCUCGGCCUAGGGUUCCGGCCGUUAGCUGACAGUUGCCGGCGCCGGCGUUCGAAAAAUCAUGAAAAUUUGCACUUCUCUCCUGUGAGUCAAAAAAUUAAGCUGUCCCCUUCUCUUUUUAAUCUUUAUAUUUUUCAAAAAGAAAAAUCUAGAUCUAGGAUAUAUUUCGAAAUAAAACAGAAAAAUGAAGAAAGAAAGAGUCAAAUCGCAAGGGAAAGAACCUCCGUCUUCGCCUCGCCCCCAGCCCUCGUCGGAACCUGAAUGGGUUUUAUGACAUUUGGGUUACCAGAGGCUCUCGACUUGUGACGGAGGAUCGACCGAAGGUGAGUUUUUAUUUAUUUUUUAUUUAUGUUUUUAUUUCGGAUAAAAUAAAAGAGUAAAAGAGACACCUUUGAACUGUUUGCUUUUGAUUUUUUUUCUUCUUGUAUUCGAUUUUUUUAAAAAGAAGGCUCUCCCUUACAAUAUGUUUUUCGUGGCCUUUAUAGCCACUGAUACAUGAUUUUAUUACUGUUUCUCUAUUACUGUUUGUCCACUGCUUCCUUCUUUUUUUUUUUGCGCUGCUGUUGCGUGUUUGCUUCACUUUGCAGGGUGUCAAGCAGUGGAGGUGGUUGAAGCAGAGACGUGACACGGCAGAAGAGGUGAUGGGACGGUGGCAGAAGGGCAGAAGGCCCUAGGUGCGGGUUGGAGUUUUCUGUUUCUUCUUUGUGUUGGGCCAUUUGGGCCGUUUAGGUUUUGUUCAGGAUUGGGUUUGUAAUGGGCUUGUUGGGCUGAUCUGGUUUGUAAUGGGCCUUAGCAGUUUGGGCUAGAGACUUUGGGCCUGUUGAGUCAACAUUGUAAUUGGGCCUCUGUUUUUUGUUUUACUGGUAUGAGCCCGGGCAAAUUUGGGCUUGUACAAUUAACAAUAAGCUAAAUUAACUUUACAAUCUAAUUCUUUCAUAUUCUAAGCUUAAAAUCUAUAAUUACAA